UGGAAAAUUAUGAAAAAAAAAAAAAAAAAAACAACUAAAAUAGGAGGAUAUAAUUAAUGAGAAUUUGAACCAUCACUCUUUCUAUAUUUUUUAAUUCAAUAUAUCCUCUUUAAUUUUGAGAUUCAAUUAAGUGGUUAAAGUGAUCAUAAAAUCCAAACAUGCUACACAUAUUCCUUGCCUAAAAAUUAGACGAUUAUUAUGAAAGAAACUAAAUGACAGAUUAAAUAUAUCUAAGCUUUUCGAGAUUUAUGCUAAGAAAACAAGUAAUUUGAAAGAUGUUUGAGGAGCUAUCCUUAUAACUAAUACGUAAGAUAUAAGAUUAUGACAAAAAUUUAACUAAACUUUCUAAGAACAUCAAGUUGAAUAUGCUUACAUUGAAUAUAUAGAGACAUGGUUAAUAAAGACAUGUUAUAUUUUUAGUGUAAGAUAUAAAUUUUCUAAAAUUUCACCGUCUCACAAUCUAAACAGAUAACAAAAAAAACAAGGAUAUAUAAAUUAAAAUAAAAAACUGAAAAUCUAAAACAACAAUAAAAAACAACUCAAGCACAUUCGUUUUCAGAUGAACUAAUAUAGUUGGACUUUUCAAAAACACUUACAAAUCAUUUUUAUGUUUCAUAACCGAUGCAUUCAACUGUACUUUAUAUGAACAGACAUUAUAUAAAACAAUUUGUAAAUAGUAAUACAUAAACCCGCACGUAGUGCGGGUACUCAUCUAGUACAGUUAAAGUGUUGUUAACAAAAAAUUAAUGUUUACAAGGAUUAAUAAUAGUGAAGAGGCUAAAUUUAGACAAUGAUAAAAAGAAAAGAAAAAU
RNAcentral lists this small RNA (812 nucleotides) under Arabidopsis thaliana (thale cress). Its description in RNAcentral is "ATSL101920". The record is from RNAcentral. Lineage: Eukaryota; Viridiplantae; Streptophyta; Magnoliopsida; Brassicales; Brassicaceae.